This 323-nucleotide ribosomal RNA is filed under the name uncultured bacterium. RNAcentral describes it as "bacterial SSU rRNA". It matches the Rfam family "Bacterial small subunit ribosomal RNA", at positions 28 to 334 of the family's 1533-position model. The record is from RNAcentral.
GAUGAACGCUGGCGGCGCGCUUAACACAUGCAGGUCGAACGAGAAAUUUAUAUUGGAACCUUCGGGUGAAGAUAUAAAUGGAAAGUGGCGGACGGGUGAGUAACGCGUGGGUAACCUACCUUGUACAGGGGGAUAACAGUCUGAAAAGGCUGCUAAUACCGCAUAAGACUACGGUGUCGCAUGACACAGUAGUAAAAGCUCCGACGGUACAAGAUGGACCCGCGUCUGAUUAGCUAGUAGGUAAGGUAAUGGCUUACCUAGGCAACGAUCAGUAGCCGGCCUGAGAGGGUGAACGGCCACAUUGGAACUGAGACACGGUCCAA